Molecule: unclassified non-coding RNA, 148 nt
Organism: Macaca mulatta (Rhesus monkey)
Lineage: Eukaryota; Metazoa; Chordata; Mammalia; Primates; Cercopithecidae
Rfam family: Metazoan signal recognition particle RNA
About the family: The signal recognition particle (SRP) is a universally conserved ribonucleoprotein. It is involved in the co-translational targeting of proteins to membranes. The eukaryotic SRP consists of a 300-nucleotide 7S RNA and six proteins: SRPs 72, 68, 54, 19, 14, and 9.
Source: Ensembl
GCCGGGUGUGGUGGCACGUGCCUGUAAUCCCAGCUACUUGGGAGGCUGAGGCAGGAGAAUCGCUUGAACCCAGGAAGUGGAGGUUGCAGUGAGGUGAGAUCACACCACUGCACCCCAGCCUGGGUGACAGAGUGAGACUCUGUCUCAU